AACAAGGAUUCCCUUAGUAACUGCGAGUGAAGAGGGAAAAGCUCAAAUUUAAAAUCUGACAGUGUUUUGCUGUCCGAGUUGUAACCUAGAGAAGUGUAACCUGUGCUGGACCAUGUACAAGUCUCCUGGAAUGGAGCAUCGCAGAGGGUGAGAAUCCCGUSUUUGACAUGGACYACCAGUGCAUUGUGGUUGUGCUCUCAACGAGUCGAGUUGUUUGGGAAUGCAGCUCUAAAUGGGUGGUAAAUUCCAUCUAAAGCUAAAUAUUGGCGAGAGACCGAUAGCGAACAAGUACCGUGAGGGAAAGAUGAAAAGAACUUUGGAAAGAGAGUUAAACAGUAUGUGAAAUUGUUGAAAGGGAAACGUUUGAAGUCAGUCAUGUUGGGUGGGGAUCAGCCUGGCAGAUUGUUGGGUGUACUUCCUGGUUGACGGGCCAACAUCAGUUUUGACUGCCAGAGAAAGGYGAAGGGAAUGUGGCACCUUUGGGUGUGUUAUAGCUCUUUGUCGUAUGUGGUGGUUGGGACUGAGGAAAGCAGUGCGCCGAAAGGCRGGGUUUCGACCACAUUCGCACUGAGGAUGUUGGCAUAAUGGCUUUAAGCGACCCGUCUUGAAACACGGACCAAGGAGUCUAACAUGCAUGCGAGUGUUUGGGUGGAAAACUCUUACGCGGAAUGAAAGUGAAAGUUGAGAACCCUGUCGUGGGGAGCAUCGACGCCCGGACCAGAACUUUUGGGACGGAUCUGCGGUAGAGCACGUAUGUUGGGACCCGAAAGAUGGUGAACUAUGCCUGAAUAGGGUGAAGCCAGAGGAAACUCUGGUGGAGGCUCGUAGCGAUUCUGACGUGCAAAUCGAUCGUCAAAUUUGGGUAUAGGGGCGAAAGACUAA
This 882-nucleotide ribosomal RNA is filed under the name Amanita aff. lavendula 1 KWH-2017. RNAcentral describes it as "LSU rRNA". It matches the Rfam family "Eukaryotic large subunit ribosomal RNA", at positions 67 to 934 of the family's 3401-position model. RNAcentral also lists the same sequence under 1 other name. The record is from RNAcentral. Lineage: Eukaryota; Fungi; Basidiomycota; Agaricomycetes; Agaricales; Amanitaceae.